RNAcentral lists this non-coding RNA (26 nucleotides) under Gallus gallus (chicken). The record is from RNAcentral. RNAcentral also lists the same sequence under 5 other names. Lineage: Eukaryota; Metazoa; Chordata; Aves; Galliformes; Phasianidae.
GUACGUAGCAGAGCAGCUCCCUCGCU